This is a long non-coding RNA of Lutra lutra (Eurasian river otter), 209 nucleotides long. RefSeq lists it as uncharacterized. The transcript has 3 exons. The record is from RefSeq and is a predicted model, not a curated record. Lineage: Eukaryota; Metazoa; Chordata; Mammalia; Carnivora; Mustelidae.
UAAUAUUUCUUAAAUAAGCUUUCAGUUGGAGUUAGACAAGGAUGUGAUCACUGGCAACAAUUCCAGUUGUCCCCAGAUCUUCUGCUGGCUUUGCCCUUUUGGAUCCAGCAUCACGCUUUGUGAAAGCCCAGCCCGGACACUCUGCUGUCAAGCAGCAGUAUAGAAAGAAGCAAUUUAGACCUGAAGCACCACUGUUUUCCCUCCCCCAG